Molecule: ribosomal RNA, 637 nt
Filed under: Sinomonas sp. N-YH-1777
Lineage: Bacteria; Bacillati; Actinomycetota; Actinomycetes; Micrococcales; Micrococcaceae
Description: bacterial SSU rRNA
Rfam family: Bacterial small subunit ribosomal RNA
Source: RNAcentral
GGGUGAGUAACACGUGAGCAACCUGCCCUUGACUCUGGGAUAAGCCUGGGAAACUGGGUCUAAUACCGGAUAGUACCCUCUGCCGCAUGGUGGGGGGUGGAAAGCCUUGUGCGGUCUUGGAUGGGCUCGCGGCCUAUCAGCUUGUUGGUGGGGUGAUGGCCUACCAAGGCGACGACGGGUAGCCGGCCUGAGAGGGUGACCGGCCACACUGGGACUGAGACACGGCCCAGACUCCUACGGGAGGCAGCAGUGGGGAAUAUUGCACAAUGGGCGGAAGCCUGAUGCAGCGACGCCGCGUGGGGGAUGACGGCCUUCGGGUUGUAAACCCCUUUCGGCAGGGAACAAGCCUUCGGGUGAGGGUACCUGCGGAAGAAGCGCCGGCUAACUACGUGCCAGCAGCCGCGGUAAUACGUAGGGCGCGAGCGUUAUCCGGAAUUAUUGGGCGUAAAGAGCUCGUAGGCGGUUUGUCGCGUCUGCUGUGAAAGCCCGGGGCUCAACCCCGGGUCUGCAGUGGGUACGGGCAGGCUGGAGUGCAGUAGGGGAGACUGGAAUUCCUGGUGUAGCGGUGAAAUGCGCAGAUAUCAGGAGGAACACCGAUGGCGAAGGCAGGUCUCUGGGCUGUAACUGACGCUGAGGA